UUGACCUAAAAUGUAAGACGUUGACGAACACAAGAAGAAGUGAAGGGUAUUAAGUGUAAUUCAUCAUUAAGAUGGAUGAUGCCAUUUUGAAGGUAAAACAAUCAUAGGAUGAAUCUAGCCGACCUAGGUAUAUUUUAUUUUUUUGGUUUUUUAUACAUAUAGAAUGGUUAUUGAACCAAACCCAAUUUAGUACAAAAUUUU
Molecule: long non-coding RNA, 201 nt
Filed under: Actinidia chinensis (golden kiwifruit)
Lineage: Eukaryota; Viridiplantae; Streptophyta; Magnoliopsida; Ericales; Actinidiaceae
Description: long non-coding RNA (ACHI_LNC003587)
Source: RNAcentral